This 230-nucleotide ribosomal RNA is filed under the name uncultured Staphylococcus sp. RNAcentral describes it as "partial 16S ribosomal RNA". It matches the Rfam family "Bacterial small subunit ribosomal RNA", at positions 109 to 334 of the family's 1533-position model. The record is from RNAcentral. Lineage: Bacteria; Bacillati; Bacillota; Bacilli; Caryophanales; Staphylococcaceae.
AGUAACACGUGGAUAACAUACCUAUAAGACUGGGAUAACUUCGGGAAACCGGAGCUAAUACCGGAUAAUAUUUUGAACCGCAUGGUUCAAAAGUGAAAGACGGUCUUGCUGUCACUUAUAGAUGGAUCCGCGCUGCAUUAGCUAGUUGGUAAGGUAACGCUUACCAAGGCAACGAUGCAUAGCCGACCUGAGAGGGUGAUCGGCCACACUGGAACUGAGACACGGUCCAG